UGGGGAAUCUUGCGCAAUGGGCGAAAGCCUGACGCAGCGACGCCGCGUGAGGGAAGAAGGCCUUCGGGUUGUAAACCUCUUUCAGGAGGGACGAAGCCACUCGGGUUAAUAGCCCAGAGGGUGACGGUACCUCCAGAAGAAGCCCCGGCUAACUACGUGCCAGCAGCCGCGGUAAUACGUAGGGGGCAAGCGUUGUCCGGAUUUAUUGGGCGUAAAGAGCGUGUAGGCGGCCAGGUAGGUCAGCUGUGAAAACUCGAGGCUCAACCUCGAGCUGUCGGCGGAAACCAUCUGGCUAGAGUCCGGAAGAGGAGAAUGGAAUUCCCGGUGUAGCGGUGAAAUGCGCAGAUAUCGGGAAGAACACCCGUGGCGAAGGCGGUUCUCUGGGACGGUACUGACGCUGAGACGCGAAAGCGUGGGGAGCGAACAGGAUUAGAUACCCCCGUAGUCC
Molecule: ribosomal RNA, 448 nt
Filed under: uncultured bacterium
Lineage: Bacteria
Description: bacterial SSU rRNA
Rfam family: Bacterial small subunit ribosomal RNA
Source: RNAcentral